AAGACCCACAUUUCUGUGCUGCUGGAGGCUUUUACUUAACUCCUGCGUCAGCUGAGCAGCAUACAAGCUCAAUGGCAAAGUGACCUCUGCCUGGAAACCCAGCAUGAAGGGACUUCUCAUCUCGGGGCUUGCCCUCAGCUGUUUGAAAAUAUUUUAUGAGACUCUAUGACCAGUAUGCAUUGACGGAAGGAUGUGCUCUUUCUGAGAGGGUCAGAACUAGAGGUGGUGGAGUGAACACCACGCCAGGCAAUGGAAGAAGCACUGGCCUAGACCAAGCUUGAGCGUGCACCCCUGUCACCUGGAGGCUUGUUCCAACACAGAUGGCUGGACCCAUCCCCAGAGUUUCAGAUUUAUUAGGUCUGUGCUGGGCCCUGAGAAUGUUUGUUUAAAACAAAUUCCUGGAUGCUACUGGUUCAGUUGCCACACUCUGAGACCCACGGGCCUUGAGCUUAGAAGAUGUGGGUUUAAUUCCUGGAUUCCACACUUUACUAGCUGUGACUUGGAGAAUUUAAAUUACUUACCUGAGUCUUGGUUUCUUAUUUGCAAACUGAACUGUAAACUAUCUGUUCUACCCAUUUUAUAAGACUUUUGUAAGGAUAAAAUAAAAGAAUACAUAUGCAAAUUAUUGAAAAA
Symphalangus syndactylus (siamang) is the source of this 633-nucleotide long non-coding RNA. RefSeq lists it as uncharacterized. The record is from RefSeq and is a predicted model, not a curated record. Lineage: Eukaryota; Metazoa; Chordata; Mammalia; Primates; Hylobatidae.